Molecule: ribosomal RNA, 2825 nt
Filed under: Klebsiella pneumoniae
Lineage: Bacteria; Pseudomonadati; Pseudomonadota; Gammaproteobacteria; Enterobacterales; Enterobacteriaceae
Description: partial 23S ribosomal RNA
Rfam family: Bacterial large subunit ribosomal RNA
Source: RNAcentral
GGGUUGUGAGGUUAAGCGACUAAGCGUACACGGUGGAUGCCCUGGCAGUCAGAGGCGAUGAAGGACGUGCUAAUCUGCGAAAAGCGUCGGUAAGGUGAUAUGAACCGUUAUAACCGGCGAUGUCCGAAUGGGGAAACCCAGUGCAAUUCGUUGCACUAUCGUUAACUGAAUACAUAGGUUAACGAGGCGAACCGGGGGAACUGAAACAUCUAAGUACCCCGAGGAAAAGAAAUCAACCGAGAUUCCCCCAGUAGCGGCGAGCGAACGGGGAGCAGCCCAGAGUCUGAAUCAGCUUGUGUGUUAGUGGAACGGUCUGGAAAGUCCGACGGUACAGGGUGAUAGUCCCGUACACCAAAAUGCACAGGCUGUGAACUCGAAGAGUAGGGCGGGACACGUGGUAUCCUGUCUGAAUAUGGGGGGACCAUCCUCCAAGGCUAAAUACUCCUGACUGACCGAUAGUGAACCAGUACCGUGAGGGAAAGGCGAAAAGAACCCCGGCGAGGGGAGUGAAAAAGAACCUGAAACCGUGUACGUACAAGCAGUGGGAGCACCUUCGGGUGUGACUGCGUACCUUUUGUAUAAUGGGUCAGCGACUUAUAUUCUGUAGCAAGGUUAACCGUAUAGGGGAGCCGCAGGGAAACCGAGUCUUAACUGGGCGUUAAGUUGCAGGGUAUAGACCCGAAACCCGGUGAUCUAGCCAUGGGCAGGUUGAAGGUUGGGUAACACUAACUGGAGGACCGAACCGACUAAUGUUGAAAAAUUAGCGGAUGACUUGUGGCUGGGGGUGAAAGGCCAAUCAAACCGGGAGAUAGCUGGUUCUCCCCGAAAGCUAUUUAGGUAGCGCCUCGUGAACUCAUCUUCGGGGGUAGAGCACUGUUUCGGCUAGGGGGUCAUCCCGACUUACCAACCCGAUGCAAACUACGAAUACCGAAGAAUGUUAUCACGGGAGACACACGGCGGGUGCUAACGUCCGUCGUGAAGAGGGAAACAACCCAGACCGCCAGCUAAGGUCCCAAAGUCAUGGUUAAGUGGGAAACGAUGUGGGAAGGCACAGACAGCCAGGAUGUUGGCUUAGAAGCAGCCAUCAUUUAAAGAAAGCGUAAUAGCUCACUGGUCGAGUCGGCCUGCGCGGAAGAUGUAACGGGGCUAAACCAUGCACCGAAGCUGCGGCAGCGACACUAUGUGUUGUUGGGUAGGGGAGCGUUCUGUAAGCCUGCGAAGGUGUGCUGUGAGGCAUGCUGGAGGUAUCAGAAGUGCGAAUGCUGACAUAAGUAACGAUAAAGCGGGUGAAAAGCCCGCUCGCCGGAAGACCAAGGGUUCCUGUCCAACGUUAAUCGGGGCAGGGUGAGUCGACCCCUAAGGCGAGGCCGAAAGGCGUAGUCGAUGGGAAACAGGUUAAUAUUCCUGUACUUGGUGUUACUGCGAAGGGGGGACGGAGAAGGCUAUGUUAGCCGGGCGACGGUUGUCCCGGUUUAAGCAUGUAGGCUGGUUGUCCAGGCAAAUCCGGAUAAUCAAGGCUGAGGUGUGAUGACGAGGCACUACGGUGCUGAAGUAACAAAUGCCCUGCUUCCAGGAAAAGCCUCUAAGCAUCAGGUAACAUCAAAUCGUACCCCAAACCGACACAGGUGGUCAGGUAGAGAAUACCAAGGCGCUUGAGAGAACUCGGGUGAAGGAACUAGGCAAAAUGGUGCCGUAACUUCGGGAGAAGGCACGCUGGUGUGUAGGUGAAGUCCCUGCGGAUGGAGCUGAGACCAGUCGAAGAUACCAGCUGGCUGCAACUGUUUAUUAAAAACACAGCACUGUGCAAACACGAAAGUGGACGUAUACGGUGUGACGCCUGCCCGGUGCCGGAAGGUUAAUUGAUGGGGUUAUCCGUAAGGAGAAGCUCUUGAUCGAAGCCCCGGUAAACGGCGGCCGUAACUAUAACGGUCCUAAGGUAGCGAAAUUCCUUGUCGGGUAAGUUCCGACCUGCACGAAUGGCGUAAUGAUGGCCAGGCUGUCUCCACCCGAGACUCAGUGAAAUUGAACUCGCUGUGAAGAUGCAGUGUACCCGCGGCAAGACGGAAAGACCCCGUGAACCUUUACUAUAGCUUGACACUGAACAUUGAGCCUUGAUGUGUAGGAUAGGUGGGAGGCUUUGAAGCGUGGACGCCAGUCUGCGUGGAGCCAACCUUGAAAUACCACCCUUUAAUGUUUGAUGUUCUAACGUUGGCCCCUUACCGGGGUUGCGGACAGUGUCUGGUGGGUAGUUUGACUGGGGCGGUCUCCUCCCAAAGCGUAACGGAGGAGCACGAAGGUUAGCUAAUCCUGGUCGGACAUCAGGAGGUUAGUGCAAUGGCAUAAGCUAGCUUGACUGCGAGCGUGACGGCGCGAGCAGGUGCGAAAGCAGGUCAUAGUGAUCCGGUGGUUCUGAAUGGAAGGGCCAUCGCUCAACGGAUAAAAGGUACUCCGGGGAUAACAGGCUGAUACCGCCCAAGAGUUCAUAUCGACGGCGGUGUUUGGCACCUCGAUGUCGGCUCAUCACAUCCUGGGGCUGAAGUAGGUCCCAAGGGUAUGGCUGUUCGCCAUUUAAAGUGGUACGCGAGCUGGGUUUAGAACGUCGUGAGACAGUUCGGUCCCUAUCUGCCGUGGGCGCUGGAGAAUUGAGGGGGGCUGCUCCUAGUACGAGAGGACCGGAGUGGACGCAUCACUGGUGUUCGGGUUGUCAUGCCAAUGGCACUGCCCGGUAGCUAAAUGCGGAAGAGAUAAGUGCUGAAAGCAUCUAAGCACGAAACUUGCCCCGAGAUGAGUUCUCCCUGAGACUUUAAGUCUCCUGAAGGAACGUU